CUAAAAUCCACCUUAGGUAAGGGUGUCACCGGAAGAACAUUAGGAAGGCCCCUAUCCUGGAGUGUGGUCAGUGAUCUAGAGCUCUUCCAUGUAUGAGGCCUAGACAGAGCAUAGCAUUCUUAUUUCUGCUUCACAGUUGCCCAGAGGAGUAGACACAGUUAUCCCCAUUUUUUAGAGAUGACUGAGAACCAGCAAGGUGGUCGAGUAGCAUAUAUCCCUGAUGUUUCUUUCCCAUUUGCUAGAUUAGAAAAAUAUUGAAGUCUCUCUGCAUUUCCUAGGAUUGGACAUGGGUGCCUCAGGUUCCCCUGGGGUGGGACAGUCAUGGAGCACAGUGUUAUCUAUAACUGUGUUCAGGGGUCUGUAUAAUUUUGGAGAUUGGAAUAAGGGAGUCCAUCCACGUGUACAUACAAAUACACACAUACCUAUCCAUUUGCUUCACCUUGCCUUUUUCAGUAAAGUUGGUAUUCUUGAGUUCCUGACUCUAGUACCUAUUUAAAAAUUGACCCUGAAAGGAAAUGGGUGUGCAUGUACUAAGCUCCACCAAGUACCAGUCAGGGCCUAAACAUCGGUCUGAUGACAAUUUCCAGUCUCUUUCUACUAUAUUCCUCUCUAGAACCUACUGGAAGAAGGCAGUGAGGAAGUGUAAGAAGAUCUGGUUCAUAGGGUAGAACUGGGUAGUCCAUGACUAGAUCAUGUCCCAAGGUCCCCCAGACAGAGGCCCAGAGAGAGGUUUUCCUUUCUUCUGGAAUUCAGCAUUAGCUUCCUCUUCAGGUGUCAGCAUGUGCCUUGAAUCCAGGGCCACUCAGGGCCAAUGAGCCUGCAUGUGGAUUGGACAGCCAUGUUAGUGAGAAUGACCAAGGACCAAGCCAACUGCAUGACUUAGGGACUGCUCAGGUCAGGUCAGCAACUACCCUGUGCGGGGUGCAGGGACACAGUGACAAAAGAAAACAGAGACCUUGCUCUUGUGGAAAUAGGUCGUGAGAUAAGCUGAUCCUUCAGUAUGAUGUGGGAGUUGGUAAGUGGGACAGGUGCAUCACCUAUAGAGGAAAGGUGCUUGAAGGUCAAACCUGCAGCCAGGAAACCUCUGGGGAGAGAGGACACCUGAGCUGAAUUGUUAGGGACCUGCCAUUUGUAGAAGGGUAAGAUGAGCAUUGGAGGCAGAGUGGACACAUGAGCAAAGGCCCUGGCCUUGAACACUGUACACCUUGAACCACGCUGUAGAGAGCUGAUGAGGUACGGCAGUGAUGGGGACCCUCUAGGAGCGUCAGCCUGAAUUUUUCAUGUAUUGACUGUUCUGUGGAGAAGAGAUCAAAAAGAAAGGGUCAGGAUAGUAGUCUGGAGGUUCCUGCCAAAGCCUUGGGGGUGUCCGGCUGGAGAGAGAGAACAGGUGGAGGAUCGUUUCCUGGGCAGGAUUCCUCAGAGCUGGAGGUGGAGGGGCUGGAAGAGAGCUCUGGUCGGGAAGCGUCAUGGAGAAUGGGCCUUUACCUGAUAUUGGAGCACAGAGUGAGCCAAGGAGCCUGGGACCAAAAGGAGGCACAGAAGAGGGAGGCAAGAGGGAGACUAAGAGAAAGCAGAGAGUGAUCUUGUCCAGGACUCAGGAGAACAGAGUCCAUAGACAUUAGUAGUCCUGGGGGUCAAGUGUGGUCAAGAAAUUGGGAUACCAGAAAAUUGAGAAAUACCCAUCAGUUUUGAAAAUCAGUGAUGCCCUUUGUCAAAGAAAUUUCAGUUAAGUGAUGGGGUGGAAGUCAGAUUUCAGAGGGUUCAGGAACAAAGAGAUGAGGAAACACGGAGGGUGCAUGUAUAAUAUUAUCUUUCCAGAAACCUGACUGAGAAGGAAAUGGGGCUAUAGCUACAGGCAGACAGAAGGUCAACAGGUAUCUAGGACAGGAAGCACAUGUGCAUAGUUUGAGGCUUAAAAGAAAGAGUGAAGAAGUGAAGAUUAAGAGAGAAAGGGGUAAUUACAAGACCCUCCACUUGGAAAGCUGUGUGGGUGAUGGAGUGGCCCUUGGACUGGAGGCAGACUACAUCACCAGCUGGCUGCCUGAGGAUGGAGGGAAGGAGUCAGGCAGGUGAUCAGCCUGUUGAUGUGGUUUUCAGAAAAUUGAUGAGAUUUCACACCUCAUGACUUUAGCUUUUUCGACAAAAUAGGACAAGGCUCUGGCCAAGGGCUAUGACUACAGAGUUUGGGAAGGGAAUGUGAGUAGAGAAAUUGAAUUUUGGAAGAGUUGCCCAGUGGUAAGUGGUAAGAGGCUAAGAAACGAUAAACAAAAGGACUUUUGGAAAGUGCUGAGUGUCCUUUGAGAUAGGAGAGCAGGAAUUUGGAAUGGAUCCAAUAUAUCUGUUGUGUGAUUUGCUCCAGAGACAUGACAGCAUGGUGACAGGACAGUGGCAGGAGAAAGACAAGGCUUAUGAGAAACAGUGUGUUGAUCCUGGGACCCCUGCUGGGUCAAGAAGUUAGACAAGGAAGGCGCUGCUAGGUUGAGGGAGGCUGGGGACUAAGCCACUAGCAGAUGUGCUUCAGAGCAGGCUUAAGGAGGACGCUGAGAGAAUGGGAAAUGGUGUGUAUGUUAAAGUUAGAGAUUUCGGAGGGAAAAUCUCGCUGUGUAUUGACAAGGUCUGGGGUGUGGUGGUGCAACUCGGUAGCAAAAAUGAGAGAAGAAGAUCAAGACUCUGAGUAUGUGGCUGUGUGUGUGCUGACUACGAGGACCCUCCAGGAACCCAAGAACUGACAGCAGGACAUGGUACAGAGAGGAUGGCUGUAGUCAUUGUGCUAAAGUCCUCUGGGAACGUGGGCAUGACUGGGAUGUCAACAGUAGACUGUGACAAGCCACCAAGGAGCUAUGGAAAUGGGAGAGUCUAUCAGGACUGCCUUCCAGUUAAGGGCAUGGAUUUUGGAGCUUAACAAACAUGAACUCAAAUCCCAGUUCUGCUACUUACAAGUUGUGAGACCCAAGAUUCACAAAGGAAAAGUUACAAAGCCUUGUAGUCCUAAGUUUUCUUGUCCACAAAUUCAGGAUAAUAAUGUGUACUCUUAGAGUUCUCGUGAGGAUAGGACCCAGUGUGCCAUGUAGGUAGCACAGUCCUGACCUAUGGUCAGCUCUGCUCCGUCCAGGGGUGUCCUUAGCUCUUCGUCUAUUCAAAGUUCUACUCUUCUUCUGUCAGAUGGAAAAUGAACUCCUCUCUCCAGGGAACUCCCAAGGAAGUUUCUUGGAUUGACUCCUAAAACUGCUAUUCCUCCUCAUUAUUGUAGUUUCUGGACAUGUCUUUAAGCCCUGCUGGAUUGAUAAGUUUAUCAGGAGAGAAAUAAUAGCUAAUAAUAAUUUUAUCUAUAUCAAACAAAUGACCAAUAAAUAUUUGUUCCCACUCUUUCUCAAAAGUAUCCUGUAAAUAAAAUUUAAAUUGCAUUAGGAAGCCUUAUAAUUCAACAAAAAACAGAAGAAAUUUUUAAAUUCCUGGCAGAAUUCUUGGGGCCAGAUAUUCUAAAUAAAGUCUAAGGGCUUGAGAUCAUACGUAACAAAUUCUAGCACUUGGUAGUUCUUCCAGGAUCAAAAGAUCUUGUGUGAAUAAAGGUCAAGUCAUAGAUAGCCUUAACUGACUAUAAAAAUAUGUUCUAAAAUAAGUCAGCACGUUACAAUUAAACUCAUAUGUCUUGGUCUAAGCCAGUGCUUUAAUUUGUUUUUCAUUGUUACCUAAGCCAUGUAGAAAUCUCAGUUGUUUUCAGUCAAAAAAGUUGUUGUAGAGUUUUAUUCUCUUAAAAGAAUAUGCAAGGGUGCCCCGAAACACAAGUCAGACCUUUAACAAAAU
RNAcentral lists this long non-coding RNA (3804 nucleotides) under Marmota monax (woodchuck). The record is from RNAcentral. Lineage: Eukaryota; Metazoa; Chordata; Mammalia; Rodentia; Sciuridae.